GGGGCCGAGAGAAGAGCUGCCACAUUACGUACCCUCACCCUUACCCUCUCCUCAAACCUUAACAAGGGGGCUGGGUUUGGGACAGAACUGGGACUCCCCGUGCUACAGCAGGGUGCUGUUUAAGACCAGGACAGCCCUACAGACCUCCAGCCGGUCAUCCACUGUCCCGCAAGCUUGCCCACAGCAGUCAGCACGGAUGCCUGUUGGCUGAUGGCUGACCUUCAAGUGGCCCACAAAAUGGAGGAAGAUUUAAAGAACCAAGCUGCAGUACUACGCCCAUCCCCAACUGCCACGCCCAUCCCCACCCACCACACCUGCCCCUGACCAUCCCCGCCCACCCCUCCUGUCCCCGCCAAUUCCCACCUGCCACGCCCAUCCCCACUGUGCCACGCCCUCACCUGGCCCGCUGGCAUCGCCGCUGCUGAGGAACCCCAGGGUGCCCACGCGGUACCCCACCGUCACCACAAUGACUUUCCCCCGGUCAGCAAUCUCCUCCCCGCUGUACAGGUAGUUGUCCAGAAAGUUGGCACCCAUGGACCCCCCGACCAAAAAGCCAC
This is a long non-coding RNA of Anguilla anguilla (European eel), 557 nucleotides long. RefSeq lists it as uncharacterized. The transcript has 2 exons. Lineage: Eukaryota; Metazoa; Chordata; Actinopteri; Anguilliformes; Anguillidae. The record is from RefSeq and is a predicted model, not a curated record.